RNAcentral lists this ribosomal RNA (279 nucleotides) under uncultured bacterium. RNAcentral describes it as "partial 16S ribosomal RNA". It matches the Rfam family "Bacterial small subunit ribosomal RNA", at positions 506 to 784 of the family's 1533-position model. The record is from RNAcentral.
UGCCAGCCGCCGCGGUAAUACGGAGGGUGCAAGCGUUGUUCGGAUUUAUUGGGCGUAAAGCGAGUGUAGGCGGUUUAGCAAGUCGGAUGUGAAAUCCCAGGGCCCAACCCUGGAACUGCAUUUCGAACUGGCAGGCUAGAGUGUGAUAGAGGGUGGUAGAAUUUCAGGUGUAGCGGUGAAAUGCGUAGAGAUCUGAAGGAAUACCGAUGGCGAAGGCAGCCACCUGGGUCAACACUGACGCUCAUGUACGAAAGCGUGGGGGGCAAACAGGAUUAGAUA